GGGAGAGGCAAACAUAGGGAAGGAAGACCCAAGAAGGGGAGUCCCUUUGCAGUGAUCCAGGAGAACCAUGAUAAGGCCACCGAGGGCAAGGCAACCAUCAGCAGCAGACCCACUGUGGAGUCUCCUGGGAAAGUGUGAACAUGACAGUAAACAGCUUACAUCAAAGACAUUUCAAUUCUGCAACAAGCCUUUCUGCUUCGGGUAAGUGAUAUACACCCAAACAAAACAUUAAUCGGAAGACCCAUUUCGUCUCCCUUGGGGAAUUGGAGCUAUAGGCAGAAUAAUCCUGCUGUCUAAGUGUGAUUUUGAACAUUAAAAUGAGUUCCUUUUAGGAAAUCUAGAGGCUGAGAGAAGCACUGCAAAUUGAGUAGGGAUUUCAUGACAAUAAAAAAAAAAGUCUUGCUGCA
This 407-nucleotide long non-coding RNA is filed under the name Felis catus (domestic cat). RNAcentral's name for it is "lncRNA (ENSFCAG00000040627.2)". The record is from RNAcentral. Lineage: Eukaryota; Metazoa; Chordata; Mammalia; Carnivora; Felidae.